UACGUAGGGGGCGAGCGUUGUCCGAAUUUACUGGGCGUAAAGCGCGCGUAGGCGGACCUUUAAGUGGAGGGUGAAAUGCCGGGGCUCAACCCCGGAACUGCCUUCCAAACUGGGGGUCUUGAGGUAUGGAGAGGGAUGUGGAAUUCCUGGUGUAGCGGUGAAAUGCGUAGAUAUCAGGAGGAACACCCGUGGCGAAGGCGGCAUCCUGGCCAUAAUCUGACGCUGAGGUGCGAAAGCUAGGGGAGCGAACGGG
Molecule: ribosomal RNA, 253 nt
Filed under: uncultured bacterium
Lineage: Bacteria
Description: partial 16S ribosomal RNA
Rfam family: Bacterial small subunit ribosomal RNA
Source: RNAcentral